Molecule: ribosomal RNA, 372 nt
Filed under: uncultured organism
Description: bacterial SSU rRNA
Rfam family: Bacterial small subunit ribosomal RNA
Source: RNAcentral
CGUAGGGUCCAAGCGUUAUCCGGAAUCACUGGGCGUAAAGCGUGCGUAGGCGGGAGUUUAAGUGAGAUGUUAAAUCGUGUGGCUCAACCAUAUCGAUGCAUCUCAUACUGGACACCUAGAGGAAGGCAGAGGCAAGUGGAAUUUGUAGUGUAGCAGUGAAAUGCGUAGAUAUUACAAGGAACACCAAUGGCGAAGGCAGCUUGCUGGGUCUUUUCUGACGCUGAGGUACGAAAGCGUGGGGAGCGAACAGGAUUAGAUACCCUGGUAGUCCACGCCGUAAACGAUGCAUACUAGUCUUAUGGGGUAUCGACCCCCUGUGAGACGAAGCUAACGCGAUAAGUAUGCCGCCUGGGAAGUACGGCCGCAAGGCUA